RNAcentral lists this ribosomal RNA (254 nucleotides) under uncultured bacterium. RNAcentral describes it as "partial 16S ribosomal RNA". It matches the Rfam family "Bacterial small subunit ribosomal RNA", at positions 524 to 776 of the family's 1533-position model. The record is from RNAcentral.
UACGUAGGGUGCGAGCGUUAAUCGGAAUUACUGGGCGUAAAGCGUGCGCAGGCGGUCUGUUAAGACCGAUGUGAAAUCCCCGGGCUUAACCUGGGAACCGCAUUGGUGACUGGCAGGCUUUGAGUGUGGCAGAGGGAGGUAGAAUUCCACGUGUAGCAGUGAAAUGCGUAGAGAUGUGGAGGAAUACCGAUGGCGAAGGCAGCCUCCUGGGCCAACACUGACGCUCAUGCACGAAAGCGUGGGGAGCAAACAGG